Molecule: long non-coding RNA, 6981 nt
Filed under: Nicotiana tabacum (common tobacco)
Lineage: Eukaryota; Viridiplantae; Streptophyta; Magnoliopsida; Solanales; Solanaceae
Description: long non-coding RNA (NTAB_LNC016228)
Source: RNAcentral
CUACCACAUACAUUUUCAUAACAAUAAUUCGCUUAACGUAACAAAAACGAGUACUGCAUCAAUUAUAUUUUGAACUUACAACAUUUACGUGGGCACCAUGGAAGCUCAAUUUCUAAAAGACGGGGUUUUAGCCAUAGAUACCUCAAAUUCGCCCCUUAAUGAUACUACAAUGAUCCAAUACACUUAAGCAACUUCAAUCUACAAUACAACAUUCAAUAGGGUCAAUAUUAGUAAUAAAUUCCAUAACUUAAGUCAUUUAGGCAUAUUAUCAAACACCUUGUAGGUAUAGAUAUUUACACCUCAUAACUAUAGUAUUGGUUCAUCCAACUAUCACCAUUAAACAACAAUUUAUUCUGCCAUCAUUCCUAACCAAUUUAUAAUUUCCAGCAACAUAUGUGUGAUCAUCCAUUCACACCCAACAAACAAAUCAUAUCAAAUAAUCACCUUUCAAUCUCUACAAUAAUUUUGUAUUUAUAUUGGGAACUUAUUGUUUCCCAUCACUACACCAAGAAUUCCCACACUCAAUUCAUACUCAUAUUCCCAUAAUAUAUCCAUAUAUGUAAGUCUAAGGUAUAGGAUUUACCUUUUGGAAGAAAUCUUGCAAAACCCUCCUUUGAGUUAUUGACGGAAUUUCUUGAAAAUCUAAGUGUUUUAUGAGAAGAUUUUAUCAAUACUAGUGAUUGACAAGUGAAAUCACCAUGAAAACACACUUAAAAACUCACCUUAGGUGUGCAAUUGGAUGCCUUGGUCGAAUUGGGGGUGGAGAGGAUGCCCUAGGCUUGAGAAAUGACUCAAAUCCUCUCAUUUCCCGUCCUUAGGUGUAUUUAGAGGCCUGCUACUAGUGCGCCCACGCUAAGGCCGCGCUAGUGAGGCAGAAUACAUUGCAAUAUGCGCGGCCGCGCUAGUGCCCGUGCUAAUGAUACGUGCCUAGUAAAAUGGUCGUAACUUUCUGUAUAUACAUCCAAAUGACAAACGGUUUGAUGCAUUGGAAACUAGACUCAAAAAAAGUUAAUUUUAUAGGUUGUGAAUCACACAACUCCUUAUAUAACUGGAGAUAUGAUUGUCCAAAAUGAGGUCUUGUGCAUACUCAUUUACAACUUUCGUCCAGUAUGAAAUUUUUCACCUUGGCUUAGACUUAGGCCGCUCCUUAGACCCCAAAUCACUUAUAAUAUGAAUUAUACCCUUAUUAAUAUAUCCAAUUGAUAUUCAUUAUAUCAUGACUCCACACUUGCACACAAAACAAAAUAAUUAGCCUACCUUGGCUCCAAGAAAUCUUAAAUUACUUAGCAAAAUUUUCUAGGGCUUUACAAAGGGUCUAGGUGUGAGCACUACCCGGGAUCCUUGAGGUCCUUAGGGAACUUUGACACACCUAGACAUGAUAUUGUCUAUGGAAUUUGGCAUUUGAGGCUAUUGGAGGCUUGGAAAGUCAUUUGGGCCUGCUUCAGGCUCCCUAUAGUUAACUUCUUCUUUUCCUUCUUUAUUUGUUUAUGUAAUUUGUUCAGCUGGUCUAUAAUAAUUAUUUGUAAACAAAUUUAAGGUAAUUAGUGAAAAAGGGUGGGUAGCUAUAUCUGUUGAGUAAUUUGGGUAAAUACCAUGCAUGCAGGAUUAUGUUAAUAUACUUGCUAUGUUUGCUUUACCACAUUAGAAACCAUGCCUAUAGGAUUUAAAAGGUUCCAUAUUAGAAACCGAGUCUAUACGAUUUAAAUGGAUUCAAUAAUAGAAACCAUGUCUAUAGGUUUAAAAUCAACUUCAUAAUUAGAUACCAUGUUCAUGGAGUAUAAAGUGAUUGAGUUCAAUUCCUGCUACUGCAUGUAUUUACAUUUGUCUCACUAAAAUCAUGCCUAUAAGUUCCAACAUCAGCUCUAACAAUUAGAUACCAUUCCUAUAGGAAUUAAAAUCAGUAAUUUUUCCUAUAGAAUAAAAUUCAAUUUAGUUACACAAGUCAGUCUAAUUCAUGUUAGUUCACUUUGAAAUUGGCUUAAUCUACUAUCUACUUAUUUAAUUGAGUUUUUAAAACACCGUCUUAAUUCACUACUGCUAGAAAGCAUGUAGGAUCUCAAAUGUCCGCUUAAAACUGUUCACCAUUUACUGCACCCACAUAGAUACCUUGCUCUUAGGACAUCACUGUUCUGUGUUAGGCAAGCCUAUAGGGCGAUUUUAAAUUCUGCAACUCUGAAACUGUAUUUUGCUACUUGAGCUGUCCCGAUUUAACAGGUUUAAAUCAGUAGGCAAGCUAAAUAGGAUUUCUCACAUAUUGUCCUAAUUCCACUGUAUAACCCCUGCUCACCUAGAUAUCAUGUUCUAGGAUUUUCUCUUAAGUAUUGGAAUAAUUGUUUGAAGACGUGCACUUACUUGCUAUGUUUGAGGAGGUAACUAUGAGCCUAUAAUUUGUUUCUUUAAAUGUAGUCCUAGCUGUUCUUGAUUGAAACCUAGAUUUUUAUCCUUUAAAACCUUAGGAAAGUUUAGAAAUGUCCAAAGAAUAGAGGUCCUAAAAUACCUCCAAGGCCACGAGGAAGGGACGGGUAGUGCAUAGGACAUUGUCAAGGUUACUAGAAUGCUUUAGGAUAUGACCAAAGGGAGGGAAUUGGGUAUAAAGGGAUAUGAUGACUACGCGCUAAUGUCAGGUGUAGCCCCUCAUUAAGGAGUGUUUACCGGGCAUUGUGUGGGGUGAUCCUGUAGGCUAACCAACCUACGACCCCUUAUCUCCAAUUCUCAAUGUUUAAACUUUACUCUUUUAUAUGCAACUUGCUCAAAUUCUUUGUCUUAUUGUUAUUUGAGUCAAAUAGUCUCCAUCAUGAUUUUAUUUACAAAUUGUGUGUCUCAACUUCUUGUUUGUUAAAGGACUAAUACAUAAGUAUAAGUUUAGCUGGGACCCGUUAUUGUGGACUGAGAGAGGUGCCUAACAUCUUCCCCUCAGGUUAUUUCGAGCCCUUACCCUAAAUCUCUGGUAAUGCAAACUAGUAUAAGAGUUAAUUACUCUAGGUGCCCUAAUGCACCAUAAUCUGUUAGGUGGCGACUCUUUAAAUACCCAAAUCCCAAAAGGAAAUGAGUUAUUACCCUCCAUGAACGUCGGAACCCGGACUUUCUCUGCGGAGGAAAAAAAGGGGCACGACACCCAUUUACUCUGAAAACUUUACCAUUUUUAUUCUUCAAAUCAAGAGCACCAAAUGGAGCUACAUGUACCACUUCAAAAGGGCCACUCUAUUUUAACUUGGGCUUUCCCGGAAACAGUCGUAAUCGAGAGUUGAAUAAGAGAACCAAGUCACCCUCCUUGAAUUCCUUGCUCCGGGCAUACUUGUCAUGUAUGUAAUUCAUCUUGUCUUUAUACAAGAAUGAGUUGGAAUAGGUAUGAAACCAAAACUCAUCUAGUUCAUUGAGCUGCUCUACCCAGAGAUUUGCUGUAACAUCCCACUCAAGAUUUAACCACUUCAAAGCCCACAUGGCCUUAUGCUCUAACGCCUUAUGCUCUAACUCAACCGGAAGAUGGCAUGCUUUCCCAAAUACCAACCGGUAUGGCGACAUACCAAUUGGAGUUUUAUAAGCAGUCCUGUAAGCCCACAAAGCAUCAUCCGGUUUCCUUGACCAAUCAGUCCUAUUUUCAUUGACGGUCUUUGACAAUAUGCUCUUUAUCUCCUUGUUGGAGACUUCAACUUGUCCACUAGCCUGAGGAUGAUAAGGGGUUGAUACCUUAUGAUUGACACCAUACAUUGCAACCAAAGUAUCAAAUGCCCUAUUACAGAAAUGAGAACCCCCAUCACUGAUGAUUCUCCGAGGAGUGCCAAACUGUGUGAAGAUAUUUUUUUAGAAGCGCCACCAUACUCUGGGCUUCGUUGUUGGGCAAAGCUACAGCCUCAACCCACUUGGAAACAUAAUCAACGGCCACCAGAAUUUAAGUGUUGCCAUACGAACUCACAAAAGGCCCUAUGAAGUCUAUGCCACACACGUCAAAAAUGUCAACCUCAAGAAUAGUGGUGAGAGGCAUUUCAUCCUUCUUGGAAAUUCCACCAGCUCUCUGAAACUCAUCACAUCUCUUGACAAGCUCACCAACCUCUUUAUACAGAGUAGGCAACCACAGCUAAGAACCUUUGAAGCAGUUCUUGCAUCACUAUGAUGACCACCGUAUGGCGAUGAAUAGCAAGCAUCAAGAAUAUUCAUUUGCUCCUCUUCUGGAACACAUCUUCGAAUCACACCAUCAUUACAAAUCUUGAAAAUAUAAGGCUCGUCCCAGUAAUAAUCAAAGAUGUCCCGUUUAAGCUUUUUCCUUUGGUUAGAAGAAAGCUCACCCGGAACAAUGUCGGUCACAAGAAAAUUAGCCACAUCAGCGAACCAAGGCAUACUAUUCAAAGACACUGAAAGGAGUUGUUCAUCCGGGAAUGCAUCAUUAUUUCAAGACCAUCUUUGGGUCUCCCCUCCUCUUCCAAGCGGGACAAGUGGUCCGCCACUUGAUUUUCAUUUCCUUUCUGAUCAACAAUCUCUAGGUCAAAUCCUUGAAGCAACAAAAUCCAUCUCAUCAAUCUAACUUUAAAGUCCUUUUUGGUCAUCAAGUAAUAGAGUGCCGCGUGAUCAGUAUGAACAAUCACUUUGGCACCUAUGAGAUAAGGCCUAAACUUUUUCAUUGCAAACACAAUUGCUAGCAACUCUUUCUCUGUCACCGUAUAAUUAACCUGGGCAUCAUUCAUAGUUUUGAUUGCAUAGUACAUCGGGUGAAACAUCUUGUUCAUCCUUUGCUCUAAGAUCAAUCCUACCGCAAUGUCACUAGCACCACGCAUGAGCUCAAAUGGCAAGCUCCAAUUGGGUGCGGUGAUGAUGGGAGUGGUAGUAAAUCUAUACUUGAGAAGCUUAAAAUCUUUCAUGCACUCAUCAUUAAACACAAAAUUUGCAUCCUUUUCUAACAAUUUGCACAAGGGAUUCAACACCUUGGAGAAGUCCUUGAUGAACCUUCGGUAGAACCCUGCAUGCCCAAGAAAGCUCCUCACUCAUUUGACGGAAGAAGGAGGAGGGAGCUUUGAAAUCACUUCAAUCUUCGCUUUGUCCACUUCGAUACCGUUCUUUGAGAUCUUAUGGCAGAGGAUAAUGCCCUUCUUGACCAUAAAGUGGCACUUUUUCCAAUUAAGUACUAGAUUUGUCUCUUUACAUCGGGCCAACACUUUAUCAAGACUACCCAAACAUUCUUCAAAAGAGUCACUCACAACACUAAAAUCAUCCAGGAACACUUCCAAGAAGUCCUCCACCAUGUCCGUAAAUAUAGCCAUUAUCAGACCUCCUUUUUACCCGAGGGGAUGGGGAUAUGGAAUUUUUCCAAUUGAAGUGACAUUAUUAGAAAUGAGAUUAUUUAUUUAAUCAGAGUCGCCACUUGGAAUAAUUUAUGGUGUCCUAAGUCACCGGUUUAUUUUAAAUCCCAAAUCAAGGAAAUUUGACUCUUAUUUAUGGUCUGCGAACACAGAAGACCGGGUAAAAAUUAUGUUAACGUUGGAGAAGGUAUUAGACAUUCCCGGAUUCCGUGGUUUUAGCACGGUCACUCAACUAUUAAUAAUUGGCCUAAUUAUCUGAUUUAAUACAUGUUUUAAACUUAUUGUGCAUUUUUAAUUUUAUAACUGCUUUUAUUUAUUUAAUCGCUUUUUAGGAUUUAUGGAAUUUAUUUGAACGAACCACGAUGUCGUGCACUCGUUGUUUUUGUACAUAUUACGAAUCGCGUCACAUGAAAUGCACCCGCAAUUUACAACAUAUUUAUUUUAAUUAUUGUUCGAAGUUAUCGUCGGGUCACAUGAAAUGCACACUCGAAUUGGGAUUUACGUAUCAUGACCAUGCCACGGGAACCAUACCCAUGGCCACGAUGAUUUAUUAUUAAUCGCGUCUAAAGCAACUAGUGCAUUUGAAUUAUCUUCCUAAUCUUUGAGAUUGUUGUGAAGGCCAUAAAUUAUGAAAAUCACUUUGUAGAUGAAAUAACAUUAUUACCUUUAUUAAUAUUAAGAGAGUCGUUUAUACUUUAGGGCUAUUAAAAGUCAUAACUUAAUAAAUUAUCAUAUUAUUUAUCUUACAAAAUAUCUAAUGUAGAACUACAUCCUCGUUAAUAUAAAUAAAAAAAACAAAUAAUGAUGCACAAAACAUGAAAAAUGCCAAGACACGAUUUAUGAAAUAUUGUUAAAAUGAAAAGUCAGUAAAAAAUAAUCUUAGGCUCUAAGGAGUAAAUUACAGAACACUAAUGGAGAUCAAAAUGCAAUAAGAGGACAUUAACCAGGCAAAACACAUGAUACGUUUAAAUCAACAAGCAAAACGAAAAGAAAAGUGAACCUUAUAGAGAGAAUGUUUUCUUCAAUACAAUCCAACACUUUUAUCCUGAAUCUUCAUACAAUGAUGAUUCGAAAUGAGCCUCGAACCAAAAACCAAGUCAGCCCCCUCGAUGUCGGCGAACUUAAUCUUUUGGAGCUGCUUUCCGCUAGGUUUGCAAUUGGAUUUAGAGUAGUUUUAAUGGAGUUCGAACAAGCAGUUUUGCGGCUAUUUCACGUUGCAACGCAGCUGGUUUUUGAGGUUGUUUCAUUGUAGCUUUGGGCUGGAAGAAAAGCUGUGUUCGGGUCAUUUUUGGGGUGGGUUUGAGCUCAUUUUUUGGGCUGAAAGGAGCUGUUUUUAGGUUUGGAUUUGAGCUGAUUUUUGCUUUGUUUUGUAGUUGUUUUCAGCUGGGUUUAAGGUAUUUUUGAAGCUAUUUUUGUAGCUGUGUUUUGGUGCAAAAAAAGGUGUUGUUUGGGGGGUGAGCUGCUGCGUUUUUGGCAGCAUUUUGGAGGUGAUUUAAUGGUGUUUUUGGGCGGUUUAAGGGCUGUUUUAGGUGCAGUUUUAGCUAAAAAGAAAGGUUGUUGGUUUUAGAUGUAUUUCAAUAGUGGUUUGAUGGAGGAAGUUGGCUGAUUUUAAUGGAAGAAGAUAACAUUUGGUAAGAAACGGGAAUUCUUAGGGGUGGUGCGGCUAGGUUAUGAGUCUUAGGUCCAAUUU